Molecule: ribosomal RNA, 253 nt
Filed under: uncultured prokaryote
Description: partial 16S ribosomal RNA
Rfam family: Bacterial small subunit ribosomal RNA
Source: RNAcentral
UACGUAGGGUGCGAGCGUUAAUCGGAAUUACUGGGCGUAAAGCGUGCGCAGGCGGUUCGCAAAGUCUGAUGUGAAAGCCCCGGGCUCACCCGAGGACCUGCAUCUCAAACUGCCUGGCUUGAGUAUGGGAGAGGAUGAGGGAAUUCCUGGUGUAGCGGUGAAAUGCGUAGAUAUCAGGAGGAACACCAGUGGCGAAAGCGCUCAUCUGGCCCAAUACUGACGCUGAGGCGCGAAAGCUAGGGGAGCAAACGGG